Apus apus (common swift) is the source of this 974-nucleotide long non-coding RNA. RefSeq lists it as uncharacterized. Lineage: Eukaryota; Metazoa; Chordata; Aves; Apodiformes; Apodidae. The transcript has 4 exons. The record is from RefSeq and is a predicted model, not a curated record.
UAAGGCUGAUGGUAGAAACAGAGAUGCAGAGGGAAAGGUUGUCAUUUCAGUGUAAGUGAGCACAGUAUUAUUGGGUUGGGUUUUUUUUAGCUUUCCCUUUAAAAAGGAUUCUUUAUUUAGUCAGUCAUUGUCUCAUAUAACAAAAGGGUUUGUAGUACUUUCUGGGUUUGCAGUUCAAAGCAGAUAACAUCUCCAGCCAUAUUUUGCUAAGCAUAAAAAUGUUUGCAAUUGCUUUCCACUAACCUGCCCAGCAAACUACCAGUAAGAUAUUUCUGUAUAUUUACACACUUGAAAACAACGUUUUCUUUUGUUCAAGUAACAGAUGUAUGCAAAAAAAUUUACCAGCAAUAGAGAGCAGAAAGGAAACCACGAUGGCAAAGGACAUGGUGACUGCUUAAAAAUGGUAUCCAUGGUACACAGCAGCACAAAAUGACAUCACCCAAGGGAACUUCCUGGCUUCUCAUUACAGGAGGUUGGACUAGAUGACCUUUAAAAGUCCAGAGAGACACAGUGUCUUUUCAAGAAGAAAAUGAAUGCUGCUACCACAACAUACAGUAAGGCCUCCUGUAUCUUCUGUGUCCUGGAGACAGGAGCAAAGUUUGAGCAGCGCUGGAAACUGUUGGAGCUGUGUAUUAGGCAAAGCUACCUUGGCUGCAUGGACAGCAGUGAGGAGCUGCUACAAGGCAAGGUGAACCAAGGGGCUGUCUGUGCAAGAAGGGCAAAAAGACAUGGGCCUUGGAGUGCAGACCUGUCUGAAUUAACUUAACGGGCAGAAGAGGGACUCCUGAAGCCACUGAAGGAAGGAAAUCAUUACAGGGUUCUACAGAAGUAGGUCAUGUGCUACAGCUGCUCAUAGUUUAAGAGGAAGAAACAUGGGACCUCAAACAUGGAACAUGACUCCUUCAAAAUGCUUGAGAGCAACCCAAGAAAAACAUCCUCAGAGGCUUAUUUAAUAAACAUUAUCUAUAAUAGUC